This 403-nucleotide unclassified non-coding RNA is filed under the name Halimium atriplicifolium. RNAcentral's name for it is "trnL-trnF intergenic spacer". The record is from RNAcentral. Lineage: Eukaryota; Viridiplantae; Streptophyta; Magnoliopsida; Malvales; Cistaceae.
UUACUAUUUUUUUGCCUACCCUCUCUUUUUCAAAUCGCUUAUGGUCAUCCUAUUAUUUUAGAGUUGACAAGUGUCUAGGAAGGUACCUUUUUUCUAUUAUCCGAUAUCAGACACAAGUCUUGUCAUAGAUAUGAUCUACGGAAAAAUCAGCAUCCGAAUACCCAGUUGAAUUAUUUACAAUCCAUAUCAUUACUCAUACUCAUACUCAUACUCAUACUCAUACUAACAAAGUAUUUUUUUGAAAGAUUUCAAGAUCAAAGAGAUUCCCGCUUCUUUAAUAAUACAAUACUUAAUUAAUACUUAAUACUUUAGAAUGCUUAAGACUUUGCCCCUUUCUUUUUUUAAUUGACAUAGACCCAAGCCCUCGCGUAAAAUGAGUAUGAUGCAUCAGAUCAGGUCAGGA